GGGGAGAUGGUUGAGUGGUUCAAGGCAUAUCAUUGGAACUGCUAUGCAGGAUUUUGUUUAUCGAGGGUUUGAAUACCUCUCUUUUCG
Molecule: transfer RNA, 87 nt
Filed under: Hordeum vulgare
Lineage: Eukaryota; Viridiplantae; Streptophyta; Magnoliopsida; Poales; Poaceae
Description: tRNA-Ser
Rfam family: tRNA
About the family: Transfer RNA (tRNA) molecules are approximately 80 nucleotides in length. Their secondary structure includes four short double-helical elements and three loops (D, anti-codon, and T loops).
Source: RNAcentral